RNAcentral lists this non-coding RNA (26 nucleotides) under Mus musculus (house mouse). The record is from RNAcentral. Lineage: Eukaryota; Metazoa; Chordata; Mammalia; Rodentia; Muridae.
UCCAUCUGUGUGAUUCAAGAGCAAGU